Molecule: long non-coding RNA, 217 nt
Filed under: Elaeis guineensis (African oil palm)
Lineage: Eukaryota; Viridiplantae; Streptophyta; Magnoliopsida; Arecales; Arecaceae
Description: long non-coding RNA (EGUI_LNC020348)
Source: RNAcentral
GCCCAUACAAUAUUUGAGGUGCUUUUGUUUAGAGAGAACUACAAAUUACCCACUUGAGAUAAUGUUCGACUUCACUAACUCACCUGUGAUUUGAAAAAUAGUAUUUAACCCAUUUGAGGUUUAUCUAUCAACUUCUAUCACACUCUGUUACCCACCUCUACAAUAAAAUAGGAAAUAGGCUUUAUUUAUGUGCGAUUUUGGACCUCCUUUCAUCCCC